CGUCCUAUAACCGUCUUCACUAAUCGCGGAGGAUCCCUCUUUUCCUCUUUUAGCUCCCCUUCUUGAUACCUUAAAAGUAUUGAGGGAGCAAGGGAGUAGAGACAAAAGAAGGGAGAAAGAAAAAAGGACAAAGGUAAGAAGAAUACAGAGUCUGGCAGUCUCACUGGAAAAAAAGGAACUCACAUCAUGACCAUUAGAUAUUCACAGACUAUUCAAAGUUAUUACACAAUAUGCAAAUGAAUGUCACCCUUCUUUCGUAAAAAUCACUAACUGAAAGAUUGCUGAGCGUAAAUGUUUCGCAGCUUGCGGAAAUGCACUGCGCUUUUAGGUACAUCCUAUACGCAGAAGGAAGCUUUAAGAAAUAACUGGCUCUGUGGCUGAGCAAAAACAAAGUCUGACUACAGCCAAACGGGGAAAGGAAGCUAAAUGACAGGACAACUAGCUACUUCCAGAUGGCUCCUGAACCCAUGCGGUCGUUCCUUUUGUAUCGUGCACUUUAUGAUGGAGAAGAAUUCUUUUUGAUUUACACUUAAAAUCCAGACACUCUUGAAGGAAACUAAAUGUGAGGAAGAGACUAGGAAAUAGGAAAGGAAGAAGUUAAAUCAUCAUUAUUUACAGAUGAGAGAAACUUGCUCAGACUAUUAGAAGUGCAAUCAAGUGCCUUACAACCUAUUCUAAAUUAGAAAACAGCUAAGAAUAUCUUCCUGUCAGAAUUCCUCUGGAGUACAGCGCUCAGUUCUUAAUGCUGUCAGUGUUUAAGAACACCAAAAUACAUUAAUAUAUUCAGAGGUAAGUGGUCAGGUGAAAGGUCAUUUGAAACUAUGGCAAGAU
This 831-nucleotide long non-coding RNA is filed under the name Chinchilla lanigera (long-tailed chinchilla). RNAcentral's name for it is "lncRNA (ENSCLAG00000026594.1)". The record is from RNAcentral. Lineage: Eukaryota; Metazoa; Chordata; Mammalia; Rodentia; Chinchillidae.